GUUGAAAUACCGGUUCCCGUACGAUCACCGAAAAAGCAACAUCGAACCCUAUCAGUACCUAGAUGGGUGACCAUUUGGGAAUACUAGGUGGUGUAA
RNAcentral lists this ribosomal RNA (96 nucleotides) under Acanthosepion pharaonis. The record is from RNAcentral. Lineage: Eukaryota; Metazoa; Mollusca; Cephalopoda; Sepiida; Sepiidae.